UCCCUGGUGGACUAGUGGCUAGCAUCCAGUGCUCUGAUUGCUGUGGUCUGGGUUCGAUCCCUAGUCAGGGAA
RNAcentral lists this transfer RNA (72 nucleotides) under Pangasius djambal. RNAcentral's name for it is "tRNA-Gln". The record is from RNAcentral. Lineage: Eukaryota; Metazoa; Chordata; Actinopteri; Siluriformes; Pangasiidae.